CUCCACCGCUUGUGUGAGCCCCCGUCAAUCCCUUUGAGUUUCAGCCUUGCGACCAUACUCCCCAGGCGGGGUACUUAACACUUUUGCUUCGGCAGUGAACCCAUGUUAAGUCCACUACCUAGUACCCAUCGUUUAGGGCUAGGACUACCGGGGUAUCUAAUCCCGUUCGCUCCCCUAGCUUUCGCGCCUCAGCGUCAGAAGAGGUCCAGUACGUCGCUUUCGCCACCGGCGUUCCUUCCGAUAUCAACGCAUUUCACCGCUCCACCGGAAGUUCCACAUACCCCUACCUCCCUCGAGACCGCCAGUAUCCAAGGCACUUUUCCGGUUAAGCCGAAAGAUUUCACCCCGGACUUGGCAGCCCGCCUACGCGCCCUUUAAGCCCAGUGAUUCCGAACAACGUUCGCACGGUUCGUCUUACCGCGGCUGCUGGCACGAACUUAGCCCGUGCUUCCUCCAGG
Molecule: ribosomal RNA, 458 nt
Filed under: uncultured Planctomycetota bacterium
Lineage: Bacteria; Pseudomonadati; Planctomycetota
Description: uncultured planctomycete partial 16S ribosomal RNA
Source: RNAcentral